RNAcentral lists this ribosomal RNA (179 nucleotides) under Trigonopterus sp. 13 AR-2022a. Its description in RNAcentral is "partial small subunit ribosomal RNA". It matches the Rfam family "Eukaryotic small subunit ribosomal RNA", at positions 67 to 239 of the family's 1831-position model. The record is from RNAcentral. Lineage: Eukaryota; Metazoa; Arthropoda; Insecta; Coleoptera; Curculionidae.
AAGCCAAAUUAAGGUGAAACCGCGAAAGGCUCAUUAAAUCAGUUAUGGUUCCUUAGAUCGUACCCACAAUUACUUGGAUAACUGUGGUAAUUCUAGAGCUAAUACAUGCAAACAGAACUCCGACCGGAGACGGAAGGAGUGCUUUUAUUAGAUCAAAACCUAUCGGUAGCGGGUUCGCC